CUCCAGGACUCAGUUCCUCCCACCAAAAGCUAUUAAACAGGAAGGAACUGUCUGAAAAAACUCUUCAGGGGCUCUGGAGGCCAGAAGAACACUGGCCUUGGGUUACAGCAUCUAAGGAAGAGCAGGAGGAGAGGCUGAAAAAACCAUGGUUCAUGAGGAUCCUGAUUACAGAUGCCCAAUGAAAGAUUCUCUUCUCCAUUCUUGGGGUCAUUGGGAGCCUGCAGGAACUGGACCUGAGUGGAAACUCCCUGAGCCGCUCUGCAGUGCAGGCUCUUUGUGAGGCCCUCGGAUGCCCUCAUUGCCACCUGGAGACGCUGCGGCUGGGGGGCUCUGGCUUCACACCCAGCUGCUGCCAGGAUCUGGCCUCUGCACUCAGUGCCAGCCCCAGCCUGGUGGAGCUGGACCUGCAGCAGAACAGCCUGGGAGGCCCAGGCCUGGGGCGGCUCUGCCAGGGGCCGAGGCACCCCACCUGCAACCUCAACCACCUGUGGUAAGGCCCGUGGGUCCCUCCUGAGUGGAGGGCAGGGCAGGGAGCAGGAGAAGGGGAAAGGGGUGCUGUGCAAUUGGCAGGGGAAGGAAAGGGGGUGGUGAAAUGCAGAGUCAGCCUGGGUUGAC
Choloepus didactylus (southern two-toed sloth) is the source of this 615-nucleotide long non-coding RNA. RefSeq lists it as uncharacterized. The transcript has 3 exons. The record is from RefSeq and is a predicted model, not a curated record. Lineage: Eukaryota; Metazoa; Chordata; Mammalia; Pilosa; Megalonychidae.